AGUUCUCUCAAUCUUGAUCUUGAUCUUGACCUCAAAUCAGGUAGGAUUACCCGCUGAACUUAAGCAUAUCAAUAAGCGGAGGAAAAGAAACUAACAAGGAUUCCCCUAGUAACUGCGAGUGAAG
This 124-nucleotide ribosomal RNA is filed under the name uncultured ectomycorrhiza (Basidiomycota). Its description in RNAcentral is "partial 28S ribosomal RNA". The stretch from base 27 to 124 matches the Rfam family "Eukaryotic large subunit ribosomal RNA", at positions 1 to 98 of the family's 3401-position model. The record is from RNAcentral. Lineage: Eukaryota; Fungi; Basidiomycota.